ACUCAAAUGAAUUGACGGGGGCCCGCACAAGCAGCGGAGCGUGUGGUUUAAUUCGAGGCUACGCGAAGAACCUUACCUGGGUUUGACAUGGGCUUGAACGAAGGUGAAAGCCGGAGGUUCCCGCAAGGGACAGGUUCACAGGUGCUGCAUGGCUGUCGUCAGCUCGUGCCGUGAGGUGUUCGGUUAAGUCCGCAAACGAGCGCAACCCCCGGGGUUAGUUACAGGUGUCUAACCCGACUGCCCGUGGCAAACGGGAGGAAGGUGGGGAUGAUGUCAAGUCAGCAUGGCCUUUAUAUCCAGGGCGACACACACGCUACAAUGGCGUAUACAAUGGGUAGCGAAGCCGCGAGGCGGAGCCAAUCCUGCAAAGUACGUCUCAGUUCGGAUUGCAGGCUGCAACCCGCCUGCAUGAAGUUGGAGUUGCUAGUAACCGCGCGUCAGCACAGUGCGGUGAAUACGUUCCCGGGCCUUGUACACACCGCCCGU
RNAcentral lists this ribosomal RNA (486 nucleotides) under uncultured bacterium. Its description in RNAcentral is "partial 16S ribosomal RNA". It matches the Rfam family "Bacterial small subunit ribosomal RNA", at positions 899 to 1397 of the family's 1533-position model. The record is from RNAcentral.